Long non-coding RNA from Choloepus didactylus (southern two-toed sloth), 3852 nucleotides. RefSeq lists it as uncharacterized. The transcript is spliced from 5 exons. The record is from RefSeq and is a predicted model, not a curated record. NCBI's taxonomy places the organism in Eukaryota, Metazoa, Chordata, Mammalia, Pilosa, Megalonychidae.
CGAGAGCCUCUCGGCCGAGCCCGAGCACAGAGGGGCUUGGAAGACUCCACGACCUGCUCGCCCCGUCCAAGGGAGAGCUCAGUUUUAGGUGUAGAGUCCCGGUGACUCAGAGGAGAGAUGUUCCAGAGCUGAUUGGCUGCCGGCAGGCCACAGGAGGGGAGCCGAGAGGGGAGGGGACCGUGAGCUGGCACCUGGCAGGUGAGCGCACACCUACAGAGGGGCCCAGCCUGAGCCCGACAGGUGGAGCCAGCCCCAAGGGGCCGCAGCCCGAGGUCCAGUCUCAUGUCCUCCUUCCGCCCACAAAGCAGGUGUCCUUAUAAGAUGCAGAGAACCGGACACAGACAGGCAGACAGACACUGGGGAGACAGCCACGUGACGAUGGAGGAGCAGAGCAAAGCAUCUACAAGCGAAGGAGAGCCUCGAUGGCCUGGAAACACCCCCCGCAGGUUUCAGAGGGGUGAGCGCUGCUGACAGCUUGGCCUUGGGCUUCUGGCCUCCAGAACCGUGGGACGGUGACGUCCUGUUGUCUGAGCCACAGUUUGUGGUACUUCACUGUGGCAGCUCCAGGAAGCUGAAGACAACUGCUCUAACCCGAUAAACAUGAUCCGCUGGAAUGUGCCUCUGGGAUAAAAUUUGCUGUGUCGGGGGCGAUUCUUUCCCACUAAAAGAUGAAGAUUAAAGUCCAGCCCGGAAGAGGAACCAAGGUCAGACGUCGUUCUCCCCUCUGGUGACGAGAUCGUGCCGGCUCUUGAGGCUGCUUUUGUCUGCUCCAGCUUUGUCGCUUUAAUUCCCCUGAAGACACGCGCCCUACCACCGACAGAGCCACCGUUCUCUCCGUGGUCUGCGUACAAACCAAUGUCCUGAUCACCAGGUCCUAGGAUGAGACAAGACGAGCCUGCCCACGAGUCCCCUCCCGGGGCCCCCCGGGCCAGCUGUGAGUGUUUCUUUGGCAGUGUCUUAGCUGGUUGUUGUGAGUAAUAGUGAAGGAAGCAAUCAGCAAGUCUACUGCCCUAGAAGUGCGGCACGUUGGCGGCCGAGAGGGAGGGGAAGGCAGGAGGUGCAGGGCUGUUGCGAGAAGCUCCGCUCCAGGAUGCCGGUUGGUGAGUGCUGCUGGGGGGCAGCUGGAGGGCCCCUGUGAAGGCUGAAGGAAAACAGCACAGGGGCCGGGCCAUGGAGGGCUCCAGCAAGGGUGGGAUGGUGGGCUUCUGGCUGGGGCAGAGUUUGCCCAUCGGGCUGAUGAUCACCAGCAUUUACAGGACACUUCCUGUGCUGGCAGCCUUGCCCUGAGUGUUCUAAAUGUAAUAAUAGCUCAUGAGCUAGAGUCCCUUAUCCCCAUCUUACACAGACAAACUCAGAAGCACAAAGAGAAAAAUUAACUGCAGAUACAGUGAAUAGAAAAGGGGGCUGGGUUUGAAUCUGAACAGAUUCUCUUAGCCACUGGCUCGGGUCCUCCGAGAGGGGCCUGGGUGGGUUUUGCUCCCCAUGGACCUGAUUUGAAUGUGAACCAUGCACACGCUGUCGCACCCAUGAGACAAAUCCUGAUUGCAGUCAUUAAGCUGGAGAAGGCGUCUGCCCGAGCAGUGGAGAAGUCUCCACACUGGGGAGAACUCUUCUUUUCAGUCAAAGCCAAGCCCAGGAUAUCCACGGGCAUGAGAAGCUGGUGGUGGUUUCUGUCCCUUGGCCUGUAAGAAAGCUUCCUCCAAGGGGACUCGGCCGAGAUGAGAGUCAAGUUCUCUGGGUCCCACCAGCUCCGCCUACAGAAGACAACUUUGGGUCCACCGAACCUCAGUUCAGUCCAGCUGGGUUGUGUGGCAGUGGGAACUGCACCCAAGGCCCGAGGGUAGAGCAUGAAGACGCAGUGGUGCUUCUCCAGGUCUGGGACAGGACACAGCCAUGGUCUCCAGUGAGCCUGCGAUAAGCCACGAGUGGGGCCUGUACUUCGGCAGACCUCACGGGAGCAGCCUUGGCCUUGGCUUUCUCCCUUCAGCCUCUUGGCACUCUGUGGUGUUCUCCACAUCCCGCUCUUUUCUCCAUGGUUCUCCAAUCUGGCACCUGCAGAAAUUGAUCCUAGCCUGAGAGGUGAUGCUGAAGGUCAGUGCCCUGCUCCUCUGACCCCACUGGCGAAGACGACCUGCUCCCUGUCAAGCCACUGCCCAGGCACCACCUGCCCACACCACCUGCCUAUCCCAGUGCUUCCCAGACUUGGAGGGGAGAGGAGCCUGCUUCUGUUCUGACCACUUUAUGAAGGUCAGAAGGCGCCUUUGAGAGUUUUUCUGGGAUUCGGAGACCAUCCUUGGCCUUGACACACUCUGGCCACUAAGACCUCCCUCCAUUCUAAGCCUGUUCUCCCUUUCUCUUACCACUGGAGAGCAAAGCGAGCAGCCGGGCUCCUUCGGCAAAAUCUCAUCCCUCCUGGAAUUGUUCUGUUGUCCUCAAAGAGGCUGGAGCUCCAAGGGGUCGCUUCAGGGAGGGUCCCUCUGUGACACACAUGGGAUUGACCGAGCCCAGCCCGCCACAAAUUCCCCUCUGCUCCCCGGGCCUACUGAGCUGGGCGUGGGCUGGAGUGGGGCUGGUGAAACGCCCGGAAUGCCGGCUGGAAUUACAGACCAACACUGAGAAUUCCUUACGGGAGUUUUUUUCCGAGGCAGCAUUUAGGAUUGCUUUAGAUCUGAAGUCUUUACAUUUUCCCCAAUUUUAGGAAGAAGUAAAGAAUGUCUUUUUUUUCCCUCAACCACUGAUUUUUUUCCAGGUACUGAACUUUUAGGGGCCGCUUGCUGGGUUUAUGAACUCACUAGCCUAUUAAUUUGAGUUCAGGUGGAAAAAGUACAAAUAACCUCUUUUUCUAUCUAGGUUUGAUUUUAGUUAUGCCAACAUAAAAACAAGAGAGGUUGUCAUUCUCAGAUACAGUUCACCAGUGGAAGUUCCUGGGAAAUUAAUAGAGAAAUGGAGACAGCAGGCAAUUUUUGUUUCAGUUUAGGUCUUUGAUAAAACUAAUGUUCAUGGUAAUUUGAUUUGCUGUAGCGGACUUUAGAGCAGCUGGGAUGUAUUUUGUCACUUUUAUAUCUCACAGUAGAAGAACUGUAGAUACUCAGACAUUCUUUUUUACUGGGCUCUUUGCCUUUCUAGAAAUUCUGGAAGAUGAGAGGAGCAGGGUUGGCUCCAUGGGGUGAUUUUAGAAUGGGUUAGGACAUUAGGAGCUCUGCACAUACACAGCUGCUGUGAUUUGGGGAACUGGGGUGAAGGUCCAAUAAGUUGAGAACAUCCAGGCCCGUGAGAGUGUACUUCUGCUCUUGGGGAUGUGUGAGUAGAUUCUAGACAGCAGUUCCUGAGUUGGAGAGAAAGCUGGAGGUUUUCAUGUUUGACUUGAAUAUGGAGGCAGUGGAGUUAGAUGCAAAUUUUACGUUCUGGGGGGAAGUGCUUGACUUCUCGACUGUGAGGCAAAGUGAGGUUUUAAAAAUAUUUAUUGACGUCCAUCACUGGAUGAACGGAUAAACAAAAUGUGCUAUAUCUACACAAUGACAUAUUAUUCAGCUGCAAAAAAGGAAUGAAGUUUGGAUACAUGCGACAAUAUGGAUGGACCAUGAAGACAUCACAUUGAGUGAAAUAGGCCAGACACAAAAGUACAAAUAUUGUAUGAUUUCAUUUAAAUGAAAUAAUUGGAAUAUGCAAAUUCAUAGUACCAGAAAUUAGAAUUUAGGGGCCAAGGUCGAGGUAAGGAAUGAGGAGAAAUCCUUAACUGAUGGAGAGUUUCUGUUUGGGGGAUGGGAAGGUUCUGGCAGUGGAUGAUGGUGAUGGUAGCAAACAUCAUGAAUAUAAUUAACAUCACUGAAUUGUAAACUAGGGAAGUAAUUA